RNAcentral lists this ribosomal RNA (118 nucleotides) under Microcebus murinus (gray mouse lemur). Lineage: Eukaryota; Metazoa; Chordata; Mammalia; Primates; Cheirogaleidae. The record is from RNAcentral.
AUCUACAGCCAUACCACCUGAAAGAGCCCCAUCAUAUCUGGUCUUGGAAGCUAAGCAGGGUCCAGCCUGGUUAGUACUUAAAUGGGAGACCACCUGGGAAUACCAGGUGCUGUGGACA